UCCACGAGGGAUAGCUCAGUCAGUAGAGCGCAAGACUCUUAAUCUCAGGGUCCCGGGUUCGGGUCCCACAUUGGGCGAAA
Podarcis lilfordi (Lilford's wall lizard) is the source of this 80-nucleotide non-coding RNA. NCBI's taxonomy places the organism in Eukaryota, Metazoa, Chordata, Lepidosauria, Squamata, Lacertidae. The record is from the annotation of a GenBank genome assembly.